RNAcentral lists this long non-coding RNA (4325 nucleotides) under Mus musculus (house mouse). RNAcentral describes it as "long non-coding RNA chr14:62956762-62961087". The record is from RNAcentral. Lineage: Eukaryota; Metazoa; Chordata; Mammalia; Rodentia; Muridae.
UCGCUUGCCUCUUGCCACAGAGGAUGAUCACAGUUUGUGCCGUGUUUCUCUUUCAUGGCUUGGGAUAAGAGUUGGAAAACCAUGCGUGUCCAACAGCUGGCCUCUUGAGUCACCUGGAGGGAGCAGGUACAUUGUCGGAAGUCCCUUGCAGCUCUGCUCUGGCGUUCUCUGCCAUCCACACUAGAAAAUGCUGCAGCAGCCUCUGCUGACCAUCAGCCAGGACACAGGUCCUGUGACCAGCCUCACCCUGCAGUGCCUGCAUCUCAGAAUUCAGUGAGAGUCUUUCGAGCCUUUUGUGUUUUGGACUAUGGGGACUUGGGAUUUUUUAAUUUUAUUAUUAUUUUUUUGUUUUGUUUUUGGCAACUUUCCUUCGUUCAUAACAUGAAAGACAAACAGAAAUGUCUGUGUUCCAGAAGGAAGUGCCUUGGAGGUGCAUCUUUCUACAUGGCAUUGCCUCUGUAUGUGAACAUGUAUUACUUUAAGAUUAGAAUUCUGCUUUCUUCACCAUUCAUAAUUUAGUUUCUCUUUAAAAACCAGGUAUUUAAGCAUCUUUAUGUUCAUGUAUACUCUGCUAUGAAGCCAGCGUGUGAUCUAAACAGAGGUACUAAGAAAGCAACAGAAUCCUCCAAAGGGAAUAAUCAGUUCAGCUUGAGAAGGUACAGUAAGGACUCCCUCGGGCUAUCAAGAUAGGAUUAACAGUAGUGGCAAGCCUGUGUCCAGAAAUUGGCCAGCCUCUCCAAGCCCUUCACCAUAGUCACCUGUCAGGAAUGUCACGUCAUUGCCAGGUGAGAGGCCUUCUGGGUAAACAGGCAGAUUGCUCGCCCUACCCUCUCCAUGCCAUCCACCACAGUACCUUGCCCACUUCUUGCCUAACAGGUGUUGCCUGGCACAGAGGACUUGAAUGAAAUGCAGUCCUCCUGUUAGUUUUGUUCUGUUCCUAGAGAAGCAGUUCCUUUCCUGGCAUCGUUGCUUCUCUUCACAGAAGAAGUAAUAAUCACCAUUCUUGGGCCCCAACCACACUUAGCACUGGCGACCCAGAGUGCUUCCUAGGACAAGCCGCUUCUGCUCUCUGGCACUGGGAAGGCCUGGUGUGCACCUCACACAGCCACACCCCUGGUGGCUGGCUGCAAUGUGAGAGCAGAACUCUCUCCAGGGCGUCAUCACCACUGUGAUUUAACCUGGUCCGAGAAAGGCCACCUAGCUUCAGUCUGGCCACUAUUACUGCUAUCAAUUUUUCUCUGUGUGGUCGCUCCAUCACAGAGCUUUGAAAAGGGAAUUAGAGGUAAAAUAUUCAAAGAUCAAUGGUGUGGUUGGAUGCUAGGAUCUAUAGCCACUUGGCAAGUUGCAGAGAACUGUGUGUUGUAAAUCAGUAAUAGAAGUAAGUCUGUCUGAGCUGGAGCAUGACUGCCCAAGGAAUGGAAAUGCACUAUUGGGGAAGCUCAGACUCCCAGCAAGCCUGUGUGGAUUCCCAGUCUUGUAUAGACGAAGUCAGACCUUCAGUAGAACACUUUACACUGUUGGGUGGCCCUACAUACCAUGCUGGUCAUAUCCCAGCUACGGCCCAUCCUUAGGAGUGCCCAGAGAUUGAAAGUUGACAGUGAUGAAAAUCAUGGGUGCCUACCACAGAUUGACCAAGGUUUCCAUGGCUCUGCCCUUUCCUCUCUCCUUACCCAUGUGGCUAGUGAUGGGAAAUUAUGUAUCAGAAAACCAGCUCUGCAUGUGAUACUGUGAAUCUUCUACUUGCCUGGUAUCUCCAUUAACCCACGGGGAAUGCAUGCUGGUGCUCACGGUGUCCAGGCACUGACCUCGUCCACCAGGCAUGAGGGCUGGCACAGUGCUUGGCUCGUUUCUCCUCUGGGGAAAAAAUUGACAAAUCUGUCAUCCUCUUGGGUGUACACUUGACUUUUCUUGCUGUGCUAUGGAAACCACAGCUCUGGUACCCGUAGUGAGGACAGCCGUGCUGGGAGGUAGGGAGACUGCACAUGCGGAGUUUCUCCUACUUGGUGAAUGAAGAGCAUCUUUCAGUCUUAGUGUUUCCAAGGGAAAGCAUUUAGUGAGCCACCUGGCUGUCUCCACCAUAGCAACAAUGGUUUUAGAAUAAGUACUUGAAAUUUUGUAUCACUUUAUAAAAGGCCAGUCAACAUAAUGUGUUUCUCGUUUAGUUAUUUGAAUUAUUCAUGAAGUUACAAAAAUUAUGAAGUUGGAAAAGUAUAUUGAGGUCUCAGAUGUCCCAGGUUGGUCACACCAGGCAGUUAGACAGAGGUAAAGUGUAAACAAGACAUUCUCAAAGAACUACUCAAGAAUAAUGGCACUUGCUAUUACCAGUGGCAUUGUGAGUAGGCAGAAGGGCAGCACUUUUGCCUGGGCAGGAAGUCUCUGGACUCAGGUUUAAUACUGUUGAGCACAUUUGACAAACUCUUGGUUAUGAGUGGGAACAUGUUACAUCAGAAGGUGGGUGGUACCACUGAUCUGUAUGCCGACACCCCUUCCCACAUUAGUCCCCACUGACCGCCCUAGAGUCCCACUGCCCUGCUGGCUAAAGGCUGCUCCUCUUGGUCUGGGCCUAUGGUAUUUGUCAUCGUGAUGAGAGGCAUCGCCUUCUUAGCAUCUCAGAGUUAUAUUCUAAAAGCAUUCUAUAUUUUUGUUUAACAUCCUUUAAAAGCUUGAAUUUGAGCUUUAAAGCAAAAGAAUAGUACCAUAUGUCACAGUAACCAGAAUAUGCAUUAAUGAAGGGCCUUUGGCUUUGUCUUUUCAUAAUAUUUAAAUACAUAUAUAUUUGUAUAUAAGUGAGCUUGUUCGCAAAGAUUUAUAUUUUAAAGCAGAAGAAAAGCAUUUUCCAAAGUGCUCUUAUUUUUCUUUCCCUUGAAAUAACGUUGGGUUGAGGUGGCUCCUCAUCACCCUGAUGAAACGACACGAAUGUUGAUCAGUUUGCCACUUUGUCAGGCAGUAAAGUCCUACCGGGGAAGCCUGUGUGCGCCUAUAAACUGGAGUUCAGCUUGACAGCCAAGAACUACACACCAGGCCUCAGGGCUUUAGGUCUGCGCUUUCACCUUUUAAUGUUUCCACCAAAAGCCUCGAGGCUAGCUCAGACAGCAGUGUCUGUUGCCUGCAUGGGUCCUCCCUUGUAUUUCCCAUGCCACGACCUUUUCAAAGUCUUUAUUUUGAAAAGGUGGUCAGAACUCUGAGUGAGGUGUCAAUUCAACCACAGUGCUUACAGUCCCCUCUAGACCUGUGACUGGGUUCUACGACUGGUGUUUAUUACAGGACUAAUGCACACGACCACCAAUCACAGAGCUGACCUCACUUAGGCACAUGAACACACUGCACUGCCAGAUCAGACGAGGUUCUCUCUGGGCUUUUCCAUCUAGGGCUUUGUCUUAGUUAGGGUUUUACUGCUGUGAACAGACACCAUGACCAAGACAACUCUUAUAAGGACAACAUUUAAUUGGGACUGGCUUACAGGUUCAGAGGUUCAGUCCAUUACCAUCCAGGCAGCAACAUGGCAGCAUCCAGGCAGGCAUGGUACAGGAGGAGCUGAGAGUUCUACAUCUUUAUCUGAAGGCUGCUAGCAGAAUACUGGCUUCCGGGUAGCUAGGAUGAGGGUCUUAUAGCCCACACCCACAGUGACACACCUACUCCAACAGGACCACACCUUCUAAUUGUGCCACUCCCUGAGCCGAGCAUAUACAAACCAUCAUGGGCUUAGUUGGUGUUGUUUUAGAAAAAGAUGGUGAAAUUGUUAGUACCAUCUAAUUUAAAAGAUACCUCAAACUGUUCACCUUGGGAGGUUGAGACUAUCUGACUGGGGAGAUAAAGUGUUUAGAAAGUUUAGAUUGGUUCAAAGGGUAGAUUUCAAAUCUUAUUUAAAUAUUUAGAGGUUUUUUGUUUCCCCUCUUGGUUCUUUGGGAUGCAUGAGGGGGUAUUUUUUUUUUCUUUUUUGUUGUUAAGGGAAAGCAGUUUGAGUUUGCUUCUGUAUAGUUCUUAUUGUUCAGAUGGUUACACAGCCUUUCGUUUAUAGCAUAUGUCAGUGUGAAGUAUGGACCAAACCACUAACAUGCAAUUACCGUUGUUCUGUGUGAGCUUCUGUCUCAUGCCAUUUGUCUUGCAUUUUAAAUGGUGUUUUCAAGGUAUUGUCAUUUGGAGAGGAGAAAAAUCUCACAUAACAAGUGUAAAAACUGUUACUAACUGGACAGCGGGGGAGCUGUUAGCCCUGCAGUGGUGCCUACCCCUUGCUGUAUUGUCACCAGGUACUUUUGCACAGCUGCCUCCUGGGGCUCACAUCUGGAUGUGGCUGCCACAGGCUUGUUUUUCCAACAAAAUAAAAC